This is a long non-coding RNA of Vespula pensylvanica (western yellowjacket), 456 nucleotides long. RefSeq lists it as uncharacterized. The transcript is spliced from 3 exons. NCBI's taxonomy places the organism in Eukaryota, Metazoa, Arthropoda, Insecta, Hymenoptera, Vespidae. The record is from RefSeq and is a predicted model, not a curated record.
GGACAGGUGAAGACGUUCGUUGUAGGAACCUGGAAUAAGAAAGAAAUAAAACUAAUAAGUAAAUAAAUUCACAUGUGUGUCACAUGGUGACAUCGCUGGAUUUCAUGUUUAACAUGGUUCGUCGACCGAUAACAGCGUCCACCGACAAACAUGUUGUCCGCUUCCACGCGCAAGGAAAGUGCAGCAACGUUGAACAGCAAGACUGCGAGAGAAGACGAAGGAAACAGCAGAACGAAAUUACGAAGCUGCGCCUAGCAUGCAGGGCGUGGCUGCUGUUGCCUGGAUCAAGAAAUAUUGGAACGACAUACUUCCUAUGUUUCAUUUUCAAUUUCUUCACGGUUGGUACGCGAUUAUUAUUAUCUGGUAUUUAUCUAGUGCACUUGCCCGUGCACAGACAUUCUCUCUCUCUCUUUUUUUUGCACGCCUUCUACUAUACUUUACAUAUGUUUGACUUUU